RNAcentral lists this ribosomal RNA (1963 nucleotides) under human gut metagenome. RNAcentral's name for it is "bacterial LSU rRNA". It matches the Rfam family "Bacterial large subunit ribosomal RNA", at positions 227 to 2286 of the family's 2925-position model. The record is from RNAcentral.
AAACGAGAUUUCGUAAGUAGUGGCGAGCGAACGCGAAAGAGGCUAAACCAAGAGAAGAAAUUCUUUUGGGGUUACGGACUGCGAUAUGUAUCUGAGGACUUAGCAGAAUGGUAUGGGAAAGCCAACCAGAGAAUGUGAUAGUCAUGUAUGCGAAAAGGAAUCAGAGCUAGCAGGAUCCAAAGUACCGCGGGACACGAGGAAUCCCGUGGGAAGUCGGGGGGACCACCCUCCAAGCCUAAAUACUACCCAAUGACCGAUAGCGAAAAGUACUGUGAAGGAACGGUGAAAAGAACCCCGGGAGGGGAGUGAAAAGAACCUGAAACUCUAUGCUUACAAGCACAUAGAGCACGUCAAAGUGUGAUAUGGUACCUUUUGUAGAAUGGUCCGGCGAGUUAUUGUAUACAGCAAGGUUAAGGUCUUCAGGACUGAAGCCGAAGCGAGAGCGAGUCUGACAAGGGCGGAAAGUUGCAUGCAAUAGACCCGAAACCGGGUGACCUAGCCAUGUUCAGGUUGAAGUGGAGGUAAAGCUCCAUGGAGGACCGAACCGACCUCCGUUGAAAAGGCGGCGGAUGAAAUGUGGCUAGCGGAGAAAUUCCAAUCGAACCCGGAAAUAGCUGGUUCUCCCCGAAAUAGCUUUAGGGCUAGCGUUGUAUUAGAUUUCUGGGGGUAAAGCACUGAAUAGGCUAGGGGCCGAGAGGUUACUGAACCUUAUCAAACUAAGAAUACCAGAAAAUUGAUGUACAGCAGUCAGACUAUGUGAGAUAAGUCUCAUAGUCAAAAGGGAAACAGCCCAGACCCACAGCUAAGGUCCCAAAACAGAUUUAAGUGGAAAAGGAUGUGGGAUUGCCCAGACAACCAGGAUGUUGGCUUAGAAGCAGCCACACAUUAAAAGAGUGCGUAAUAGCUCACUGGUCGAGUGAUCCUGCGCCGAAAAUUCAACGGGGCUAAAAUUUGUACCGAAGCUUGGGCUUGAUACGUUCGUAUCAGGGGUAGGGGAGCGUCAUGUAUGAGGAGAAGUCAUAGCGGAAGCGGUGGUGGAUUGUACAUGAGAGAGAAUGCCGGAAUGAGUAGCGAGAAUUAUGUGAGAAUCAUAAUGGCCGAAAAUCUAAGGUUUCCUGAGGAAGGUUCGUCCGCUCAGGGUAAGCCGGGAGCUAAGGUGAGGCGGAAACGCGUAGCCGAUGCACAUACGGUAGAGAUUCCGUAGCCUCCGAAAAGUAAAGCACAGGGACGCUUCAGAAGUGUUACGCCGGGCGAUGGUUGCCCCGGUUGUAAAGGACACAAUUGAGUGGAAGGUAACAUGGAUGGAGACAAGAAAAGCUGUGUGUAUCUGGAAGGAGCCCGUACCGCAAACCGACACAGGUAGAUAGGAAGAAGAUUCUAAGGCCAACGGGAGAAGGGUUGUUAAGGAACUCGGCAAGUUGACCCCGUAACUUCGGGAGAAGGGGUGCUUACGAAGGUAAGCCGCAGAGAAUAGGCCCAAGCGACUGUUUAGCAAAAACACAGCUCUAUGCUAAAUCGAAAGAUGACGUAUAUGGGGUGACACCUGCCCGGUGCUGGAAGGUUAAGAGGAGAUGUGAGAGCAUUGAAUUGAAGCCCCAGUAAACGGCGGCCGUAACUAUAACGGUCCUAAGGUAGCGAAAUUCCUUGUCAGGUAAGUUCUGACCCGCACGAAUGGUGUAACGAUUUGGGCACUGUCUCAACAACCUACCCGGCGAAAUUGUAGUACCGGUGAAGAUGCCGGUUACCCGCGACUAGACGGAAAGACCCCAUGGAGCUUCACUGUAGCUUAAUAUUGAAUUUUGGUAUUUCAUGUACAGGAUAGGUGGGAGACUGGGAAAUACAGGCGUCAGCUUGUAUGGAGUCACUGUUGGGAUACCACUCUUGAGGUGCUGAAAUUCUAACCUGCGUCUUUGAAUCAAGACGGGGGACAUUGUUAGGUGGGCAGUUUGACUGGGGCGGUCGC